CAGCACGGGGGGUAACCCCUGGUGGCGAGUGGCGAACGGGUGAGUAAUACAUCGGAACGUAUCCUGUAGCGGGGGAUAACCUCUCGAAAGAGAGGCUAAUACCGCAUACGACCUACGGGUGAAAGAGGGGGAUCGCAAGACCUCUCACUAUUGGAGCGGCCGAUGUCGGAUUAGCUAGUUGGUGGGGUAAAAGCCUACCAAGGCUACGAUCCGUAGCUGGUCUGAGAGGACGACCAGCCACACUGGAACUGAGACACGGUCCAGACUCCUACGGGAGGCAGCAGUGGGGAAUUUUGGACAAUGGGCGCAAGCCUGAUCCAGCUAUGCCGCGUGGGUGAAGAAGGCCUUCGGGUUGUAAAGCCCUUUCGGCUGGGACGAAAAGGUCCGUGUUAACACCACGGACUCAUGACGGUACCAGCAGAAGAAGCACCGGCUAACUACGUGCCAGCAGCCGCGGUAAUACGUAGGGUGCAGGCGUUAAUCGGAAUUACUGGGCGUAAAGCGUGCGCAGGCGGUCUGCUAAGAGAGAUGUGAAAUCCCCGGGCUUAACCUGGGAACUGCGUUUCUAACUGGCAGGCUUGAGUGUGGCAGAGGGGGGUGGAAUUCCACGUGUAGCAGUGAAAUGCGUAGAGAUGUGGAGGAACACCGAUGGCGAAGGCAGCCCCCUGGGCUAACACUGACGCUCAUGCACGAAAGCGUGGGGAGCAAACAGGAUUAGAUACCCUGGUAGUCCACGCCCUAAACUAUGUCAACUGGUUGUCGGGGAAGCAAUUCCUUGGUAACGAAGCUAACGCGUGAAG
Molecule: ribosomal RNA, 800 nt
Filed under: uncultured beta proteobacterium
Lineage: Bacteria; Pseudomonadati; Pseudomonadota; Betaproteobacteria
Description: bacterial SSU rRNA
Rfam family: Bacterial small subunit ribosomal RNA
Source: RNAcentral